UUCCUCAAUUGCAAUGUCUUU
Non-coding RNA from Caenorhabditis elegans, 21 nucleotides. Lineage: Eukaryota; Metazoa; Nematoda; Chromadorea; Rhabditida; Rhabditidae. The record is from Ensembl.